UUGGUCUGGUGUGGCUUUUCAUGCGAGUUGCCUUUCCAUUCUUUCGCUCGGCCGUUGUUUGGGUUACGCCGCCUCGACCUCUCCACAAAGAGGGGCAGAGAGGUGAAACAAAAAAGAAGAGCGGCCAAAAAAACAACGGCUGACAAAUCAUCGUGAGCGCUCUCCCGACACGUCGAGAAGAAAAAAAGAGAGCGCAGGCACGACACGGGAGCGAGAACAAAGAGGGGGAGAAAAAAGUAAGCCGCGACCUGCUAACGCGCGGCAACGACAUGGAGGAGAACACACAGAGAUGUAAAAAAUAAAUGGAUGGGAGAAGGGCCAGACCACGCUCUAAAAAAAGCCAGUGUACUCUUUUCCUCUUUCCUUUUUAUUUCCCACGCUUUUCCUUGCGCGGCUUUUUUUGGGUGCGUUGGGAAUGCGCACCGAGGCCGCGCGGUCGGCGGGGUGACCAGAGCGCGCCGGC
Molecule: long non-coding RNA, 463 nt
Filed under: Pandoravirus neocaledonia
Description: hypothetical ncRNA
Source: RNAcentral